UUUCUCUCAUUUCUAGUUUUCUCUGCAGGCAAAUUAAGAAGGUUAAAAAUGGUGUUCUCGGCCAUACUAAGUUGCUUUGUUCCAUCUUCUUCCUCGACCCGAGUCUUCAAUGAUGCUGGUGGGUCUAGUUUGAAGGAACCUAAGAGCAAGUCAUCGAAAUCUUCAUCAAGAGCUCCGAUCCCGGUCUCUUACUUCCCUGUUAACUCCUACCUCUCUCGCUUGUAGUGAUUAAUUUGAUCGCAAGUUGGAGUUAGACUUUGAAGAGUACCAAUGGAUUAUUGAUUCAGUUUAUGUAUUAUAUGAUGGGGUUCCUCAUCAUGCAGUUGCUUGAGGAGUGAUGAUGGAGUUUGUUUUAAUGUACAGUUUGAUGAUUAAUUUGCAAUAAUUAGAUUCAAGAAUAUUGUUAAUUUCCUCCAACUGCAUGCAAUGAAACAACUCUUUUUAAUAUAAAGUUGGGUAUGAUGAUACCAUGAAAUUACCUGCAACCAAAUAAGACAUUAACCCCAACUGAACUUCCUUGUUGUUUCUCAAUUUGAUCAGUAAAGGAGGAAGUCUUAAAAAAGCCAAUGGAAAAUGACCCCACCAUUUUAGAGAAACACUAGGUGAAAUUUGAUCCACAGAAUCUUCUAUACAUAUUUUAAAGUUGUGAGUGUCUCUUAAACCUAUAAUGGACAAUAUCUAUGUGAGAGAUGACAAGUUAUUAUAAAUAAUAUUAGAGUUAAUUCUUUAUCCGUGAAAGUUUGUUUGACCUUGUAAAUGGUUUUUAUCUUUUUGUUAUCAUAAUUCUAUGCAUUACAAUGAGGACGUUGCGUCUUUCUGAAGGCCACGCUAUAUAUGUAUUGAUUUUUCUUCAUUUUAUAAGCAUUCUGAAGGCCACGCUAUAUAUGUAUUGAUUUUUCUUCAUUUUAUAAGCAUUUUUUAAAGUCAUGAGUGUUUAUGAGGCACAAAACGGAUCACUACAAAUAUUUAUAUAGAUUUGCAUUUAAAUCCAAUAAAAUAUUAAAGAAAAGACUAAAACGGAACUUCGGUAUUGUAACUACUUAUGACCUAGUAGUAAACCUGAUUUUAAUAUAUCAUAUUAGAUUAUUUAUUUUUUAAAUACAUAAAUUGUUAGGUAAUAGAUCAACGAUAUAUACUAGACCGUUAACAUUAUCUAUAUAUUUAUCUUUGAAUUGAGCAGCAACAGCGAUUGACAUGCUUGUUGGUGGGACCUAAUUCAACAAUGAAUUGUAUUAUCACAUAUUUUAAUACUUAAAGUUUCUAUAAUUAAUUAGUCUUUGAAAAUGAUACAUAUUUAUUGUAGAGGCUACAACAAAAGCCUCUACAAUUAUUUUUAAGAGAAAUUAUUUAAGGGAUUUUUUGUAAUAAGAACAUGAAAUAAUAAUUUAUUUUUUUUCAUAUGUUAUAUUCUAACAAAAAAAAGUCCUUUAUUUUUUCAAAAAAGCGUCUAUUUCAUAAAUUAAUAUUAGUGAUUUUCUAGAUUUUUAAAAAUUUACUAAGCACAAUAUUAAAAACUUUUGUAUUCUAGGGAAGUCAUGAGACUUGGUCAAGAUAUGGAAUAUGGGAUGACGUUAAGCCUGAGAAAGAAAAUAUAAUUUCCCGGAAUAAGUAAAAGUAGGAUGUCUAAGGAAGAAAGCAUGAGAAUCACAUUGGAUGAUUAGUUUUAUCCUAUCAUAUUUAUUUAAUCUUAUUCCAAAGGAGACUUUAACUAAUAUGUUUUAAUUUUCUUCAUUGUUUUGGUCCCACCCUCUAUUUGUUUGUUACCUAGACCUUCCCAUUUUUGCUAGAAGGUUUUCUUCUUCUGGGUCAGACUAAUCAAAAUUUCAAAAGUUUAGUUGUUGGGUCUUUUUCUAUAGUCAGAUCAAGGUAGCAGCAGCUGCCACGAUUGUCACAGGAAGCUCAAGGGAAUCAACCAUCUCAUAUAUUUAUCGUUUAGCUUUCCUUGAUAUGCAAGUAAACCAACCCUACUACCAUUUCAGAUCUGCAUUAUAAAUAGAGAAGCAUAUGUUAGCCUAAUAUUUCAUCAAAUAUCACACACUUCCUCUCUUUUCUAGUUUUCUCUGCAGGCAAAUCAAGAAGGGUUAAAAAUGGUGUUCUCAGCCAUACUAAGUUGCUUUGUUCCAUCAUCUUCCUCGUCCCGAGUCUACAAUGAUGCUGGUGGGUCUAGUGUGAAGGGCCCUAAGAGCAAGUCAUCGAAAUCUUCAUCAAGAGCUCCGAUUCCGGUCUCUUACUUCCCCGUUAACUCCUACAUCUCUCGCAUGUAGUGAUUAAUUAAUUUCACUGCAAGGUGGAGUUAGAAUUUGAAGAGUAUGAAUGGAUCAUUGAUUCAGUCUAGGUAUCAUAUGAUGGGGUUCUUCAUCAUGCAGUCGCUCAAGGAGUGAUGACGGAGUUGGUUUUCAUGUACAGUUUGAUGAUUGAUUUGCAAUAAGUUGAUCGAAGAAUACUGUAUUAGAUCUUCAUCUUGUUAAUUUCCUCCAACUGCAUGCAAUAAACAGUUCUUUUUAAUAGAAAGUUGGGUACGAUGAUACCAUGAAAUUACCUGCAACCAAAUAAGACAUCAGCCCCUACUAUGAAAAUUGAGAAACAACAAAAGAGUUCACUUGGGGUUUCCAUUGGAAAGAAUCGGUACUUGAAAUAUUGGCAAUCAGUGAUUACCAUAUGUAUAACUGCUAAGUAAACCCUAGAAUCAGUUAGGGUUUAUCAUCAUCGAAGACAAAGGUUGUUCGAAUCAUAUAUUAAGCAAAAACUACUUACAUUAUACAGAUGAUGAUCAGUAAGGGAAGAAGUCUUAAAAAAGCCAAAGGAAACUGAACCUACGAUUUUGGAGAAAUUAGGGUGUAAUUUGAUCCACAAGGUGAUGACUGAUGACUAGAUAUGCAUGGUGGGAUUUGCCCCAGCGGUCCAUGAUGAUAGAAGGCUAUUAUCCUUUUACACAAGCACUAAAAGAAAAAGGAUAAAUUAAGUCGCCUUGCUUUGUCCUUUCAUCCGCCCAAAAUUCUUGCAAUAUGCACCUCAAAUCAAACCUAAGAGUAUCAAUCACUCUCUUUCUCUCCAUCCAUUAAAAAGUAUUAAUUUCAAACUUGUGAUAUCUCACAUGUUGGAAGUAGAUUUGUAUAGGUUUUUUAAUUUUGUAGAUGUACUUUAAAGUUGUGAGUGUCUAUUAGACUCACAAGGAAUAAUAUCUAAAUGAGAAAUAGCAAGUCAUUACAAAUGAUAUUAAAGUUGAUCAUCGAUCUUAAUAUGAGAGUUUAUUUGACCCUGCAAGAGAUCUUUUUAUUUCUAUGAUCUUAUGAGAUACAACGAGAACGUUAUGCACUUAUAUGAGGGUGUAUUAUAUAUGUAAUGAUUCUUCUUCAUCUUAUAAAUAACUUUUAAAGUUGUGAGUGCGUAUGAGACCCAAAACGGAUCAGUACAAAUAUUUAUAUAAACUUAUAUUUAAAUCCAUUAAAAUAUUAUUUGUUAUAUUAAAAUAAAUUGUUGUUUUUUAAAUGAAUUGGAAAUAUUUUGAAGUGUUUGUUCAUAAAGAAUUUUGAUAAAUAAUUGAAGAUAUGAAGAUUAAUUGUAGGGGACUCGUGACACGUAUUCAACAUAUCAAAUAUAAUUACUGAAUAAACAGCCAAAAAAAUAAAUGUAAAAAAUAAAAAAAAUACCAGGGCACCAGCUGAGAGAUGUGGAAGGGUCUUUAUCGGCCAAGAAGAGGAUGAGAUUGGCCUUGUUCUUCGGCGCUUCUGAUCUGAACUUCUCCAGCACGCCGUCGAACGUCGACACAGUGGCGUCCACCAUUUUCAGCGGCGUAUUCGCUUUUUCUCAGGGGUAUUUUGGGAAAUCUAGACAAUAUCAUUGCUUGACAACAAUGGCAUUCGUCUGUGCUCCUUUUACAGGUUUUAAGCUAAAAUUUGCCCACCCACAGGUGGUGAAAUUCCUGAUAUGCCCUUCAUAUUGGAGUCACCAAAAUCUCCAUGACAUAGUAUAUCACAUUUAUGUCAAAUUUGGAGCCAAUGAUAUAUUUUGUGGUUUUAAAGUUCAUUAUAUACUUAGAAAGGCUUAGAAUACAAAUUUGAUAAGGUCAAACAAUGAUAUUUUUCUAAAAAUUUUUGUCCUACGAGGUGGGCACACAUACCUAGAAAAGCCUAAAUCCUUGACAUUAUGCAAUCUUACUUUACAAGAUGGUAGCAAAUAAUUAAUUAUUUUUCAAACACCGUAUCCCCUUAAAUAUUAUAGUUGGUUCAAUAAGUGGUAGAGUCAGGAUUUCAAUUAGGGGACUAACUCUUAAGACAUAUGUAAAUUUUGCUGAUCAUAAAAGAUGUGGGCUUUGACCCAAUAACCCAUCCUUGGCAUUUUCUAAGGGGGGGCAUAAGUUGGUUUGGGGUGGGAAGUGGAGAUGGCUGGUUUCACCCUUGGGUUCAGUCAUUGUAUUGAUUGAUCCAAUGAAGAAUAAUAUUUAGUAUUGACAUUUGCCUUCAUAAAUGAGCUUAAUAGUAUUAUCUUGGUGAGUGCAAUCCAAUAAUUAACUUGAUAUGUGUUUUUCAUAAAAUUUUAUGUAUCUUUUUAUAUUUGCCCUUUACUACCAAAUGUCAUUGUUCAUUUUGAAUUUUUUUCUUCUAUAAUGAAUAAAUACUUUUAAUUUAAUAUAAAAUUAUAAUUAAUCAUAUCAUUUUUUAGAACAUGUAGUAAUAGUAAAUAUGUGUUAACGUCUUUGAAUCCGGGACUCGCUUUCUAUGAUAAAAAGAAUAUACCAUUAACAUUAUGAAAUGAUUUUUGAAACUCCCACCAAUCAACAUUAAUUAGUUAGUCCUUUUUAGUUAGAGAGUUAAUUUUACUAAGACCCCUAGGGUGUAAAUACGUACACAUAACCAUUAUUAAUUUUAAAUUUUGUCACUAAGUGUCUUUGUAAAUUUAUUUUGUUUAUACAAUUUAUUUUUUAAAGAGAUUUUAAGGAAGUGUAAUUAAUAAUUUUUUGAAAAAUAAGUUUUAUUCUUAAAUUUUUUUUAUAUAUGAAAUACAUUUAUAGAAGUGCUAAUUGAUAGAAUUUGAAACUAAUGAUGGUUUAAUGUAUUUAUACUGAACCUUGGGAUGUGAAUGAAACUAGCCCUUAGCGAAAUAGGGUUGAGGAGUUAAACAUGCAUGGGUUGAUUGUAUUAAGGAUGAAAAGUACUAUUAAGUUCUUGGAGACCAAGCAAAACUUGGUUAAUACUCCUAGAAUCAUCAGGUGGUCGGACUAGAAGUCAAAAGUUUUGGAGGAAUUGAAAACGACUUCCUCAAACUACAGACACAAGUGUGGGAAACAGGAAGGAAUUAAUUAACCAUCUAAGCUGGGGAGAUGGGGACACAACAUUUGAAUUUCCUUGCUAUACAAGAAAAUUAGUCCAACUUCACAGUAUAACACAUCAUCAUCUUCAUUCAAAUGUCAUCACUACUCACACUUCAGCUAGCUAGCUCUUGGCUUCUCAAACACUCACUUCCCUUAACUUCUGAAUAGAAAAAUUAAGGAGAAUUAAGGGUGAUUCAACAAUGGUGCUCUCAGCCAUUCUAAGUUGUUGUCUGCCAUCAUCAUCGUCGACUCUGCCUCGGGUGUCCGAUGAUGGUGGUGGGUCAAGAUGUGACAUUAGGCAAUCUUACCUUGCAAGAUUGUGGUUAGAUUGUAGAAUAAGCUAGCUAAUUUACUAUUUAUCAAACACUUUUUUCCCUAUAAAUUGAACUUUUUAAGUUAACUUAAGCCCCAUCUAAAGUUAUUAUAGCUACUAAUUAGCAAUCACAUCUCCCUUUCUAAUGGGAUUCUUAUCAACCAUUUUCAGGUGUUUGAUGUCUUGUUUUUCAAGCAAUGAAGCAAGAAAAUCUCCAGAGAAGCCUAAGAGAAAAUCAAAGUCAUCUAGGGCUCCCAUUGUGGUCUCUUCCUUCCCUGUCAACUCAAAUCUUUCUUGCUUAUAGCAUGCUGAAAUUUGAAAUGUAGUUGGUUCAAUCAUGGUAUGGACUGAUCUAUAAUUAAUGGCAAUGAAGCCAUGGUAUUGAUAGUUGCCUUUGCAAAUGAGCUUAAUGUUCUUAUAUAUCUUGGUGAGUAUAAUUCUAACUAUUUGAUCUGUCUUUUGAAUAUGAUUUAUGGUAUUUUACCCUACUGCAUGCCUUUGCUUUGGUUACCUCCUUGUGUGAACUGCCCAAUGGUCAUAAAGAUUAAUGAGUUUAAGCCUUGUUACGUUUACCCAUGCACAAAUUUGUAAUGUCAUUCACUUUGAAUUAAUUUCUUGGUGUAGACGUAUGAAACAAAAACUCUUUAUAUGAUACAAAAUUAUAGCUCUUAUCAUUUUUAAGACACGAUGAUGGAGGACGACAUCAUUCACUGCUUGAAGACCAAGCAAAACUUGGGGAAUACUCCUAGAAUUAUCAGGCGCCACACAAGUCAAAAAGUUAUGAAGGAAUAUUGAAAAUGGCUUCCUCAAUCUAGAGUCAAAGCAGCCACUAGUGUAGGAAACAGGAAGGAAUUUACCAUCUAAACAAUAUCACAAGCUGGGAAGAUGGGCACAUACCAUCUGGCUUUCCUUGCUAUGCAAGAAAAUGAGCCCAACUUCCAUUUCAAAUUAAACUUCCACUAUAAAUAUGUAGAAUCGUCUUCAUUCAAAGCUCAUUAAUACAAACUCACACUUCAGCUCUUGGCCUCUCAAACCACUUUGUUUAAUUUCUGAAAGCAGAAGGAGAAGGGUGAUUGAUCAACAAUGGUGUUCUCAGCCAUCAUAAGUUGUUUUCUGCCAUCAUCAUCGUCAUCUCGGGUGUCUGAUGAUGCUGGUGGGUCAGGCUCAAAGGUGCCUUCCAUGGGGAAAGACAAGAUGAGCAAAUCAAAUUCUUCAGGAGCUCCAAUAGUUCUUUCUUACUUUCCAUUGAACUCCUAUCUCUCUCGCUUGUAGUUGUACUACUAAUUGCAUUCUGAGGAAAGGGGAGUUGAAUUUGCAGAAGGUAUCAAUGGUUAAUUUCUUCAGCUCAAUGAUGUUAUGUGGAUCAGUUAAUUAAUGGGGCUUCUUGAUCAGUCAGUUCAGAGACCACACACCAUGGGGCAGUUGCUUAUGGGGUGGUGAUGUUGAAGGAAGAACAGCACUCAUGUACAUAUAGUUUGAUGAUUGAUUUGUAGUUUGAUUGAAGCAUAUCAUGUAAGAUCAUGGGUCCUUUAUUUUUAUUAGUAAUAUCCUGAUGAAUAAAAUUCAAGUGUAAUCCAAUUGUUUGAUUUGUGUUUUGGUAAGAGUUCUUAUUUCAUGUUAAUCCAUAUCCAAAUUCUUGUGCUUAACUUAAUAUAUUCAACAUAUUUUCAAUUAUAUCUUCGAAUUCAAUAAAAAAGACGAAGAAGAAGAGGAAAAUCCCUCAAAUUUGAAAUAAAAUACAACUUUAUUUUCAAAAUAAAUUCUCAAAACUAUUUUUAGUCCAAAAUUUAUUCUACCUAUGCUUUAAUUUGAAUUUUUUUUUUAAUUUUUCAAAAAUAGAAAAUCAUUUUAAAAAUUAAUUAUAACUUACCAUAAAGAACUGAUCUUCAAAUUUGAUCUAAUAUCAUGAUCCCUUUUUUGGUAUGAUCUCAAGUAUCUUGUUCUUAUCAUAUAUAAAAAAAAUGUUCUUAAAUUAAUACAAAAUGAUGAUAUGUCAUGUCACUUGAGAUACUUUCGAAAUGAUAGAAUAGAUAGAUUAGAAUUAGAAACCAGGAUCAUAGAAAUAAAAAAUUUAUUAUUAUGAAAAUCAAAGUCAACUUUUACAAGAAUCUUAUCCUUUUCUUACACAAUAUAUUAUGAUAGAUCUUCAAUAUUUUCACUUUUAUUCUUGCAUUCCAAACACUUCUAGAGAAUUUGCAUUCCAAAAUCAAAGCCAACAUUAGAGAACUUGUCACCUAGAAAGUUAGGUCUUUUUUAAUUCUCACAUUGAAGAAGCAUGGACCAUGUUUUUGUAUUUUAAUUAAAAUUGUUUCCAAUAAUUUUAUAUAGAUAUUAUCAGUCAUUCUGCUAGCUGGUCAUUGCAACCUCACAGCACAUGCCCACAUACUAAUAAAUAUCAGAAACUUCUUCCUAGCUAGGUAAUGUGGGGCAUGGCAAAUAAUUGAUAAAAAAUGAGAAGUCUUCAAUUCUUGGUGACCAAGAAAAACUUAGGUUAAAGCAACCACAGGAGUAGGAAGCAGAAGGCAACCAUCUGAUCAACAGUACUAUAAGUUGAGAACAUAGGCACACGUAUCAUUUGGUUUUUCUUGCUAUACAAGAAAAUCAUCCCAAUCCCAUUAUAAAUACAGAAUUAUCUUCACUCAAAUCUCAUCAUCAACCUUCUAUUUCAUAAUUUUUCAGACAUAGGAAGAGCAAAAACGAAAGAAGAAAAAAGACACGUAAAUCAUAACGGUAUUCUUUAUUAAUCUCAUCUUACACAUACAAACAUAUAUAUAUAAAGAAAAAUAAAAUUUUAACGUAAUUGAUAAUUGAUAUGAUUCCUAUGCUCACGGAAUACAUCAACACUCAAGAAUCUACUUCAUUUGACACGUAUAAGCAUAAAUAAAAAAAAACAAAAUUUUAAUAUAAUUGAUAAUUAAUAUGAUUCCUAUGUCCAUGGAAUGUUCCGAUACUUUAAGUUUGAAAUAUUAGGCAGGUACCAUAGUGUGGGGUUAUCCUAUUGUAUUUGCAUGCACCUCAAGACCCAAUACCUUGUGGCAUGACUUAGGUUAGAUAGUACAUUAUUUGGGAUAUCCAUGGUACAACCUAAUUACUUUGAUUUGUAGGAAUCUACAUAUAAUCUCAAUUGAUUUCAAACAAUUAAUUUGAUUUAGAAAAUUGAUGAGUUUAAUUACCAGGCACAUAAACUAUUUCUUCCACAAACAUAAUUGUGUCAUACAUCUUAUGGAUAAAUUACACUAGUGACUAUAAGACCAUGAUUAAAAUUUUUAUCCAAACAAUUAUAAAAAUUAUGGUUGAUAUUUAAACAAUUUUUUUUAUUAAUAAAAAAACUAUCCUAAAUGAGAUUUAAAGAAGGUAACAUCACUGAUUUGAUUGCCUCCGCUAUUGCAUUGUUACCUUACUUUUGUACUCAUCUAAGUCAAUUGCCCAACCAAAAUAAUGAUUUACUAUUCUUAAUGACCACACGACAUUCAUUAGUAGAUAAUGCGUCACACCUUCUUUGAAGAUGGGCAGGCUAAGGAAUAUUCUUAAACCAUAAGUAAUUUAAUUAUAGAAUAUUCAUUUAUAGAAACUCAGUCACACCAGUUAGCUAGGCAACAAAUCAUACAUUCUCAUUUGACUAUAAAUGAAAGUUAUAAUAGCUUCUAAACAUAUAUAUAUAUAUAUAUAUAUAUAUAUAUAUAUAUAUAUAUAUAUAUAUAUAUAUAUAAACAUAGUAAAGAUAUAGUUAUAAGUGAUGUUUGUUUUUUGGUUAAAUAGAAAAAGCCAAAUAUUUUGGUUUUUUCUAUUCAGUUAAAAGUAACUAAUUGACAUCAACCAACAUCAUUAAACUAAACUUAUUGAGAAUAAGUUCACUUUAAUUAUGUUGGUUAGUACCAAUAAGAUACUUUUAGCUGAAUAGAAAAAAUCAAAAUAUUUAGCUUUUUCUAUUCAGCCAAAAAAUAAAUACCAUUAUAGUGUUUUAAAUUCUUUAGUAGAUAACGAGGUAGGAUUAAAAAUAAUUAUUUUUCCCAUUCAAUUGAUUUGUGUUUGACAACUUUUUCUAAAUAUUUUUUUAUAUUAAAAAUAAGUGUAAUUUUGGUUUUUGUUUUUAUAAAAUUUAAUUUAAGAAAUAUUUACUUUUGACAUCAUGUUAUUUUCAAAUGUAAAUUCGAUCUGGGGUUUGUCAGCUUUAUUCAAUAUGGUUAAAAAUUACAUCUAAUUUUUGUAUAUUUUUCAAAUUGAGACUUUUAGUUCAUAUGAUAGUGAUUUUAGAAAAUCCUUAUAUUUUUUUUAAUAUUUAAUAUUUUUUAUCUUUUAAAUGUUAAAAAACUAAAAACACUUUCUAUAAUAUUAUCAAACACACUCAUAUCCAAUAUGUUUUUUUUUUCCACAUAUUUGAUCCACACUUCCAAUAAUUAUGGUCAAAGACACUCAUCGCUGAUAUGGUUUUUUAUGUACUUAUUUCAUCCUUUGUGUAUAUUUUUCGAAGUAUUAAAAAUACUUUCUAUAAUCACCGUUAAAUACACAUAUCCUAUAUGUUUUUUUUUUUAAAUAUUUGGUCACACUUCCUAUGACCACGGUUUAAGAGCCUCGUAUCCUAUAUGUUUUUUUUUACAAAUUUGGUCCCACCCUGUCUGUAUGUUCCCCGAAGCUUCCCACUUUCUCUAAAAAGAUUUAUUCUUAAACUCAAGGGGAACCAUGUCAUAUAUGAUUUGGCUUUCCUUGCUCUGCAAGUAAAUCAAAUCCACCUCCAUUUCUUAUUUCAAAUCUGCACUAUAAAUAGGGAAGCAUCGAACCCUAAUGUUUCAUCAAGUAUCUCACACUUCCUCUCAUUUCUAGUUUUCUCUCAGGAGAAAGAAGGGUGAAAAAUGGUGGUCUCAGCCAUACUAGAUUGCGUUGUUCCAUCAUCUUCCUCAUCCCAGGUCGUCGACUAUGCUGGUGGCUGGCCUUCCAUGGAGAAACCUAAGAGCAAGUCAUCAAAAUCUUCAAGGCUCCAAUCCUGGUCUUUCACUUCCCUGUUAACUCCUACCACUCUCGCCUGUAGUGGUUGAGUUAAUUGCUUGAGGAGUGAGAUGGAGUUUUGUUUUCAUUUACAGUUUGAUGAGUGAUUUGCAAUAACUUCAUACAAGAAUAUUGUAUGCAAUGAAAGAGCUAUUUUUGAUUGAAUGUUGGGUAUGUUUGAUGCCAUGAAAUUAAUUACCAGCAACCAAACAAGACAUGGAACCCUAGUUUGAAAAUUCAGAAACUAACAACAAAAGUUCAGUUGGGUAAUGAAUAGCAGUCAGUGAUGGCAUAUGGGUAAUAGUUAAUUAGAGUCACUAUUAAUUCAGGGUUUAGAGUUUAAAGUUUAUACUUAGUUGUUGGACACACAUAAAGAUCUAUAAAGAAUUCUUAAAAAAUCAUUUAAAAAUAAAUAAAACAAUAAGUUAUUUUAAUAUAAGAAAAAUUUUAAAAUGAUUAAUUUUUUUUAUAAUCAUUUUAAAAUUUAAAUAUUUUUAAUUUAUUUUUAAGCUUUUAAAAUGAGAAAAUAUCAAUUCUCGGAAAUUUUAAAACACUACAAAUAAUGUAAAUUGUUGGUGAUCGGAGAGCAAACUCCAACAUUAAAGACCUUUUCUCACUGAAGAUACUCUCUUUCCACACAAUGGUUGUUUUUUUUAACAGACUUGCCUAUUAAAAAAGGGUCAAACACCAUGUUGACAAAGGGGAGACUAAUGAUCUAAAAACUAAAAACAUUUUGUGCUGAAAAGCCCAGGAGAGGACUAAGCCAAAAAUUAAAUAUUUGGAAAGGGGAAAAUUUUAGGGGAUAUGUUGGAUAUCAAAUUUGUAAUCUUGGUAGUCAUUUGAAAUAUAUAAUGAAAUAUAAGUUGUUUGAUAUUUAUAGUUAUUUUCAUGAAUAAUGAUGGUCAUGAGGUCUUUUUGCGACGUCUAGGAAGCAAGCACGUGGAGUUAAAUAAGCAAAGUUGCAUGAGGCUUGGGGGUGCAAGCCUAUUUCGAUCAAUCCAAAGUUUGAGGCUGAUCGAGGGAAUUAGAGAUAUUCAAAUGAGUUCAAAUAUAUACAUAUUUUUAAAUUAUGUACUCAUUGAGGAUUAAUUUCAUACAUUUUCAAAAGAUUUGGAUGCCGUUUUCCUAGUUGAAAAUUUUGAAAUUUUUUUAAUGGAAAAUAAGAAAAAUGUUGAAAGAGCUUAUGUAACAUUUUUCCAAAAUACUACACUAGGAGGACACCACCUUAUAACUUGAUGUCAUUUUCCCAUUCCCUGGUGUCAUUUUGUGCUGAAGAUGAGCUAUGUACACCCCAAAAAAUGGCAAGGUCACUUUAUGCUCUACUACCAUUCCUCACUCCCUGCCACCAUUUCAUGCUAAAACUCCAAGACAAUAUGAGCCCACCAUUUUUGGACCUUUCGAGUUCACCAUUGGAUCUCUUAUAUUGUUUUUGAUACGUUAACGAGGUACUUAUGACACAUGGGAACACCUAUAUAAAGCCAUUUUGCAGUUAAUGAAGGGGGCGCCUUUGAGGAGAGCCUUUGGGCUACUAGCUUGGGGAGGAGACCAGCUUGUUCCAGCUUGCAUGCUUUAUUUGCUCGACGCUUUGCUCAUUUUAGUAAUUUGGUAAAGUUUUGAACUCACUGCUCUUGAUUAUACUUGAUUGUAACUACCAUUAAUAUUUGGUUUUGAAGUUGAAUUUGAAUGAUUGUAAUAGGUACUUUCUUAUGCUCUGAUUUUGUUCUUCACUUUGGUUAUAUUUUUGUGGCUUUUGAGUAGUAGUUUAGGUUGAGGAGAAGGGGGUUCUUAGGACCUCCAUUGUGUUUAUGAAAUGGACUCUUAAAUUCUAAGUGUUUGAUGAUACAGUCAGCAUGUGAGCUUUGUUUUUAAUUAGAAUAUCAAUAUUCCUUAAUAUUUGAAAAUUGAAGUUUGGGGGACCCUUAAGGGUAUCUUAAGUACUUAAUGGUUGAAAGUCAUUUUGACUUGAAAUGACUGUUAUUGAACCUCUAAUUAUUUGAUAACAAAUGGUAGUGGAAGCUUCAAUGUGAUAUCAUAUGGAGUUUCAAUUCACAAGUAUGAGACAUUGGGUUUGAUUAAAAUGUGCUUGUGUUGCAAAUCCUCUAACUAAGAAUACCUAUUGGUGACCUUAAUUGUGUCAAUUUCAUUAAGGGCUAUUUCAUGAAAACAAAGGAGUUCCAAGAGAUCUCCUAAUCCUUGACACUUUUUUAGCCUCCUGUUAAUAAUCUUUCCAAUUCCAUUGCACACCUAACAUCUUUUUCCUUUGGUUUGACUCUCUGACUCAUGGAGAUAUUAAAAUGGCAAUGUACUCCUUAUUGUUACAUACGCAUUACGAAGGAUGAAAAGUAUCCAAUUCUUGAAGACCAGGCAAAACUUGGUGAAUACUCCUAGAAGUAUCAGGUGGGUAACAUUAGAAGUCAAAAAGUUGUGAGAAACGGAAUUGAAAAUGACUUCCUCAAACUACGGUCAAAGCAGCCACAGGUACGUAGGAAACAGGAAGGAAUUUACCAUCUAAACAAAAUCACAAGCUGGGAAGAGGGGCAUGUACCAUCUGGCUUUCCUUGCUAUGCAAGCAAAUUAGCCCAACUUCCAUUAACUCCACUAUAAAUAAAGAACCAUCUUCAUUCAAAUCUCAUCACUACUUACACUUCAGGUAGCUCUUGGCCUCUCAAACCACUCACUUUCCUUGACUUCUGAUCAAAAGAAAAUAGGGAGAAUCAAGGGUGAUUCAACAAUGGUGUUCUCAGGCAUUUUAAGUUGUUUUCUGCUAUCAUCAUCAUCUUCAUCGCCUCGGGCGUCCGAUGAUGCUGGUGUGUUAAGCCCAAAGAAGCCUUCCACGGUGAAAGACAAGAGCAAAUCAAAAUCUUCGGGAGCUCCAAUUGUGGUGUCUUACUUCCCAGUGAACUCCAAUCUCUCUCGCUUGUAGUAGUACUAACUGAAUUGUAAGGAAAGAGGAGUUGAAUUCAAGAAGGGUACCAAUGGUGUUUAUUAAGUUCAAUGGUGUUAUGUGGAUCAGUUAAUGGGGUUUCUUGAUCAGCCAGUUGAGAAACCAGACCCUGGCGCAGUUGGUCAGGGAAGAAUAACACUGAAAAUAGUAAUAUCAGUUGUAUAUAUAGUUUGAUGAUUGGUUUUUAAUUUGAUUAAAGCAUGCAUAUGGUAUAAGAUCAUGGUUUCUUGAUUUGUUUUUUCUUAAGAUUUCUCCUAUAUCUUGUUCUCAGAUCCCUUUACCUUGUUUACCUCCUUUUCUGAAGUUCAGAUUUUCUUCAUCCAACACACUGAUAAGUGGCUCUGAGCCUGCCUAAUGACCUUGAAGAUCAAUGGGUUCUUCAUUUACUUUUCUUUUCGUCUAUGAGCAAUGAACUAGAGAUCAGUGAAUGAAAGAAAAAAAGGAAAUCUCAUAGAAAGUAUGCAACAUUGCUGAAGAAAAGAAGAUGAAGCUGUGAAUAUAUACGUAUAUUGAUCAGUUGAUGACAAUUCGAUCUAUUGAAGAUUUAAUUUAAACCUUACCAGAGCGAUCAAUUGAACUGCUAUUAACUAUUUGCUUGAGAAAAAACAAGGGCAUGUUUCCCAAUGUGGAUCCUAUCAGUUAGGUUACCUGGCCAUUUCAUGCUAAUAAAUAUCAGUAACAAAAUGUGAGGCAUUACAGAGAAUUGCUAAAGAUUAGUGAAAAGUCUUCAAUUCUUGGUGAGUAAGAAAAACUUAGAUUAAUGUUGCUAGAAGUAUUGGAGGUCAUAGAAGUAAGUCAAAGUUCUCAAGGAACUCAUGAGGAUGAAUUCCUCCGAGUAGGGUCAAAGCAGCCACAAGGGUAGGAAGCAGGAGGCCAGGAACCAUCCGAGCAAUACUAUAAUUUUCUCGGACUUGGGCAUAUAUCAUUUGGCUUUUCUUGUUAUGUAUACAAGAAAAUUAACCACCCCAAUCCCACUAUAAACACAGAAUCAUCUUCACUCAAAUUUCAUCAUCAACCUUCUGGAUCAUAAUUUUCUCGGACAAGGAAGAGCAGAAGCCAAGCCAAUUACAAUGGUGUUUUCAACCAUCUUGAGUUGUUUCUCGCUUAGUGAACUGGUGAAAUCUAACAGCAAAUCAUCAAAACCUUCACAAGCUCCAAUACUGGUUUCUUACUUCCCUGUCAGCCUUCAUCUCUAGCUUGUAGUACUUUAAUUACGAAGGAGAGAUCAUCUGCUGAAUCAUAAUGGCAGAAACGGUUUAUUCAUCUGGUAUAUUGAUCAACUCAUGGGGUUUUUUGAUGUAUAAAUUCAUUAAUUCACGAUUGAUUUGUAAAUUAAUUUGAUUGAAGCACACAUAUUAUAUAAGAUUAUUGUUUCUUGAUGAUAAUUAAGCUAAUCAUCAUAUAUACCUUUCCUUACUAUAGAAAAACCAGAUAUUAGGGCUUGUUUGGAAACAAUUCUGAAAAAUAUUUUUUGAGAACAAGUUUUAAAAAUUGUUUUAGGAUAUUUUGUAGAAAAAAAUUUAUUUUAAAACUUGAAAUGUUUUUAAUAUUUUUAAAAUAAAUUUUAUAAUUAUUUUUUAAAAUAGCUUUAAAAAAUAUAAGUGAAAACAACUAAAAAAUGUUUUAUGGAAAUAUUAUGUUUUCUAAUUGUCAAACGUGUUUUCUAGUUUUUUGUUUCUGAAAAACGAAAAUUGUUCUCCAAAACAAUUGCUAAACAAGCUUUAGGUGGUAUUUGUUUUUUUACUUAAUUCUAAAUAGAAUAUUAAUACUUAUUAGUAUUAAAUAUUAGGUUGUUUGUUUUUAUAGUAUUUUAUUUCUAUUAAGUAUUAAAAAAUAAAAAAACACCAUUGUGUUAUUUUUUCUAUUUAGAAAAAGCCACAUAUUUUGACUUUUUCUAUUUAGUAAAAAGUUUAUAAUAAGUCAUGAAAAAGUAAAAAAACAAACAACCUAAAUUUUAAAACUAAAUGAUUUUAAGCAAAAAAUCAAAAAAACAAACACCGCCUUAGUCUACUUCAAUCCUCAUUUGUAAUUAUCUUGAUUAAUAAUAUUGUGGUACCUUUGGCUAUUACCAGUUGGGACGCUUGACCCAAUAUUUGAUAGUAGAGUUCUAAUUAAUAUAUAAUUAAAAUUUUCUAAUUAUGUUUAAUUUAAUGAUGGGAUAUUAUUGAACAACAUCAUAAAAAAAUUUAAUAUUAACUAGAUUUAUCAAUUAAAAUAUUAAUAGCAUUAUCAUUUUUAUAUAUUAUUCUUCUAUGUCAUAUACCUUGAUGCCGUGAUGAAUACUUCUAUUAUUACGGAACUUGAUAAAGUCGAAAAAUAUUGUUAUAUACCGAGAGUGACUUUCUUCCUCCAUGGUCAAAGCUGGCACAUGCCAUAGAAAGUGGAAGCUCAAGAGCAACAUGGGUACUUAUAUCAUUUGACUAAGAUAAAAUUAAUUGAGAUAAAUAUUAAUAAAAUUAAAAAAGCAGGUAAAUAUGUCAAUUUGAUAAUUAAAAAAUAAAUUAAUUUUAUCGAAUAAUAAAAAUCAAAUAAUAAAUUUUAAGUUUAUAAUUUAAGAAUAAUUUAAUUUAAAAUUAAUUAAAUUAUUAAAUAUAAGUAUUAAAUUUGACCAAAAUAUCAUUUUCACCUCGCCUUGAUGAAGCCAUUAAGUAUUUAACAUUAGCCAUUGAUUUCUUUUUGGAUCAUUUUGAAACCCAAUGAUGUUGGAGGGAUGUUGAUGAUUUAUUGUUUGGUAUAUUUUAAGGUUUAAAGGAUAAAUAGUAGUACUGAAUACUUCCUACUAUCCUGACCAGUUCUUAAAGUCCAAAUGAAUUGAAAAUCUUGUGACACUGAAAGUGACUUUCUUCCGAAAUGGUCAGAGCAGCCACAACUGAUGGAAAUUCAAAGGAUCCAACUCACAAUUUUCACAAGAAACAUGGUCAGUUGGACUUCAAAUUGCUUUAUAUUCAAGAUAUUAAGAGCUCGAUAGGUUUGCAUCGCAGAAACAAACAAGUGAUUUUAGCACCGAGUAAUACUUGACUUCAUUAGAAGAGUAGGCAUGCAACGGUCCAUUGCUUUUUAGAGCAUCAAUACAUUGUCGGAUUGCCCUCACGUAGGAUGUCUUAUUUUUCCAAAAUAUAAAUAAAUCCCAUUAAUUAGGAAGAAAGCUUGAGAAUCACGUCUAAAGGAGACUUAGUUAAUAUAUAUGUUUUUCUUCAUUGGUUUGGUCCCACCCUCUAUUUGUUUGUUCCCUGAAGCUGGUUAGACUAGUCAAAAUUUGAAAGGUGGUGUAAUUUGACAUGACUGUACUUCAAAGACAUGGACGCCACCGCACCAAAGUUUAGUUGUUGGGUCUUUUUGUAUAGUCGGAUUAAUCCACUUGCUGCCACGAUUCUCACAGGAAGGUCCAGGGAAUUGACCAUCUCAUAUAUUUAUCAUUUAUCUUUCCUUGCUAUGCAAGUAAAUCAACCCUACUUCCAUUUCAAAUCUGCUGUAUAAAUAGAGAAGCAUCUUAGCCUAAUAUUUCAUCAAAUAUCAGACACUUUCUCUGCAGGCAAAUUAAGAAGGGUUAAAAAUGGUGUUCUCAGCCAUAUUAAGUUGUUUUGUUCCAUCUUCUUCCUCGACCCGAGUCUUCAAUGAUGCUGGUGGGUCUAGUGUGAAGGAACCUAAGAGCAAGUCAUCGAAAUCUUCAUCAAGAGCUCCGAUCCCGGUCUCUUACUUCCCUGUUAACUCCUACCUCUCUCGCUUGUAGUGAUUAAUUUCAUGGCAAGGUGGAGUUAGAAUUUGAAGAAUAUCAAUCGAUUAUUCAUUCAGUCUAGGUAUGAUAUGAUGGGGUUCCUCAUCAUGCAGUUGCUUGAGGAGUGAUGAUGGAGUUUGUUUUAAUGUACAGUUUGAUGAUUAAUUUGCAAUAAUUAAUUUCAAGAAUAUUGUUGAUUUCCUCCAAUUGCAUGCAAUGAAACAGCUCUUUUUAAUGUAAGUCGGGUGCGAUGAUACCAUGAAAUUACCUGCAACCAAAUAAGACAUUAACCCCAACUGAAUUUUCUUGUUGUUUCUGAAUUUGAUCAGUAAAGGAGGAAGUCUUAAAAAAGCCUAUGGAAAAUGACCCCACCAUUUUGGAGAAACACUAGGUGAAAUUUGAUCCACAGAAUGAAGAUCAGGUAUUCAUGGUGGGAUUUGCCUUAUGGUCCAUGACGAUAAAAGCUUAUUAUUCUUCUAUGCAUGCACCAAAGAAAAAGGGAAAAUUAAGCCGCCUUACUUUGCCUUUUUAUUCUCCUAAAAAGUCUGCAAUAUGCGCCUCAAAUCCAACCUAAGUGUCUCUGACACCCUCUUUCUGUCCAUCCAUUAAAAGGUACUAACUUUAAAAUUGUGAUAUCUCACAUAUUAUAGAAAAAAAGUUUGAUUUUAAUCUUGUAUAUAUAUUUUAAAGUUGUGAGUAUCUCUCGAACUUUAAUGAACAAUAUCUACGCAAGAGAUGACAAAUUAUUAUAAAUUAUAUUAGAGUUAAUUUCCUAUCCAAUGAAAGUUUAUUUGACCUUGUAAAUGAUUUUUAUCUUUUUGUUAUCACAAUUCUAUGCAUUAUAAUGAGGACGUUGCGUCCAUUUGAAGGUACGCUAUAUAUGUAUUGAUUCUUCUUCAUUUUAUAAGCAUUUUUUAAAGUCAUGAGUGUUUAUGAGGCACAAAAUGGAUCACUACAAAUAAUAAAAUAUUAAAGAAAAGACAAAAAGGGAACUUCGAACAACUUAUGAAGAUCAACAAUAUAUACUAGACCGUUAACAUUAUCUAUUUAUCUUUGAAUCGAGCAAGCAACAGUGAUUGACAUGCUUGUUGGUGGGACCUAAUUCAACAAUGAAUUGUUUUUUUUGAUAGGAAACAAUGAAUUGUAUUACCACAUAUUUUAAUACUUAAAGUUUCUAUAAUUAAUUAGUCUUUGAAAAUGAUACAUAUUUAUUGUAGAGGCUACAACAAAAGCCUCUGCAAUUAUUUUUAAGAGAAAUUAUUUAAGGGAUUUUUUGUAAUAAGAACAUGAAAUAAUAAUUUAUUUUAUUUUUCAAAAAAGCGUCUAUUUCAUAAAUUAAUUUUAGUGAUUUUCUAGAUUUUUAAAAAUUUACUGAGCACAAUAUUAAAAACUUUUGUAUUCUAGGGAAGUCAUGAGACUUGGUCAAGAUAUGGAAUAUGGGAUGACGUUAAGCCUGAGAAAGAAAAUAUAAUUUCCCGGAAAGUAAAAGUAGGAUGUCUAAGGAAGAAAGCAUGAGAAUCACAUUGGAUGAUUAGUUUUAUUUAAUCUUAUUCCAAAGGAGACUUUAGCUAAUAUGUUUUAAUUUUCUUCAUUGUUUUGGUCCCACCCUCUAUUUGUUUGUUGCCUAGAGCUUCCCAUUUUUGCUGAAAGGUUUUCUUCUUCUGUGUCAGACUAAUCAAAAUUUCAAAGGUGGUGUAAUUUGACACGACUUUCUUCAAAGAUUCGGGCCCUAGUGUACAAAAGCUUAGUUGUCGGGUCUUUUUCUAUAGUCAAAUGACUCAGAUCAAGGUAGCAGCAGCUGCCACGAUUGUCACAGGAAGCUCAAGGGAAUCAACCAUCUGAGAUAUUUAUAGUUUAGCUUUCCUUGAUAUGCAAGUAAACCAACCCUACUUCCAUUUCAGAUCUGCAUUAUAAAUAGAGAAGCAUAUGUUAGCCUAAUAUUUCAUCAAAUAUCACACACUUUCUCUCUUUUCUAGUUUUCUGAUCAGGCAAAUUAAGAAGGGUUAAAAAUGGUGUUCUCAGCCAUACUAAGUUGCUUUGUUCCAUCAUCUUCCUCGUCCCGAGUCUACAAUGAUGCUGGUGGGUCUAGUGUGAAGGGACCUAAGAGCAAGUCAUCGAAAUCUUCAUCAAGAGCUCCGAUUCCGGUCUCUUACUUCCCUGUUAACUCCUACCUCUCUCGCAUGUAGUGAUUAAUUUCAUUGCAAGGUGGAGUUAGAAUUUGAAGAGUAUGAAUGGAUCAUUGAUUCAGUCUAGGUAUCAUAUGAUGGGGUUCUUCAUCAUGCAGUCGCUCAAGGAGUGAUGACGGAGUUGGUUUUCAUGUACAGUUUGAUUGAAGAAUAUUGUAUUAGAUCUUCAUCUUGUUAAUUUCCUCCAACUGCAUGCAAUAAACAGUUCUUUUUAAUAGAAAGUUGGGUACGAUGAUACCAUGAAAUUACCUGCAACCAAAUAAGACAUCAGCCCCUACUAUGAAAAUUAAGAAACACACAAAAAAGUUCAGUUGGGGUUUCCAUUGGAAAGAAUCGGUACUUGAAAUAUUGGCAAUCAGUGAUUACCAUAUGUAUAACUGCUAAGUAAACCCUAGAAUCAGUUAGGGUUUACCAUCAUCGAAGACAAAGGUUGUUCGUAUCAUAUAUUAAGCAAAAACUACUUACAUCAUACAGAAGAUAAUCAGUAAGGGAAGAAGUCUUAAAAAAAGAAAAGGAAACUGAACCUACGAUUUUGGAGAAAUUAGGGUGUAAUUUGAUCCACAAGGUGAUGACUGAUGAGUAGAUAUGCAUGGUGGGAUUUGCCCCAGCGGUCCAUGAUGAUAGAAGGCUAUUAUCCUUUUACACAAGCACUAAAAGAAAAAGGAAAAAUUAAGCCGCCAUGCUUUGUCUUUUCAUCCGCCCAAAAGUCUUGCAAUAUGCACCUCAAAUCAAACCUAAGAGUAUCAAUCACUCUCUUUCUCUCCAUCCAUUAAAAAGUAUUAAUUUCAAACUUGUGAUAUCUCACAUUGUAGGAAAUAAUAGCCUAAUAUUAUAUAUGUAUAGGUUUUUUAAUUUUGUACAUGUACUUUAAAGUUGUGAAUAUUGUUGAACUUAAAAUGGAUAAUAUCUACAUGAAAAAGAGUAAGUCAUUACAAAUGAUAUUAAAAUUGAUCAUCAAUCUUAAUGUGAGAGUUUAUUUGACCCUGCAAUGAAUCUUUUUAUUUCUAUGAUCCUAUGAGAUACCACAAAGAUAUUGUGUACUCAUAUGAGGGUGCGUUAUAUAUGUAUUGAUUCUUCUUCUUCUUAUAAAUAAAUUUUAAAGUUGUGAGUGCCUAUGAGACCCAAAGCGGAUUAGUACAAAUAUUUAUAUAGACUUACAUUUAAAUCUAAUAAAAUAUUAUUUGUUAUAUUAAAAUAAAUUGUUGUUUUUUUAAAUGAAUUGGAAAUAUUUUGAAGUGUUUGUUUAUAAAGAAUUUUAAUAAAUAAUUGAAGAUAUGAAGAUUGAUUGUAGGGGACUCCUGACAUGUGUUCAACAUUUCAAAUAUUGGCGAGUACCUAAGAUAUUUAUUUGAUAUUAUUCCAAAGGAGACUUUAGCUAAUAUGCUUUAAUUUUCUUAAUAGUUUUGGUCCCACCCUCUAUUUGUUUGUUCCCUAGAGCUUCAUAUAUAUAUAUUAGACUAGUCAAAAUUUGAAAGGUAAUAUAAUUUGACAUGAUUUGUCUUCAGACUUGGACGCUACAUUCCCCCUGUACAAAAGUUUGACUGUUAAUUCGGUUUUUUUCUAUAGUCAGAUUAAGCUGGCAGCAGCCGGCACGAUUGUCACAGGAAGCGCAAGGGAAUUUACCAUCUCAUAGAUUAAUCAAUUAGCUUUCCUUGCUAUGCAAGUAAAUCAACCCUACUUCCAUUUCAUAUCUGCAUUAUAAAUAGAGAAGCAUAUGUUAGUCUAAUAUUUCAUCAAAUGUCACACACUUCCUCUCAUUUCUAGUUUUCUCAGGAAAAUUAAGACGGGUUAAAAAUGGUCUUCUCAGCCAUAUUAAGUUGCUUUGUGCCAUCAUCUUCCUCGUCCCGAGUCUUCAAUGAUGCUGGUGGGUCUAGUGUGAAGGAACCUAAGAGCAAGUCAUCGAAAUCUUCAUCAAGAGCUCCGAUCCCGGUCUCUUACUUCCCUGUUAACUCAUACCUCUCUCGCUUGUAGUGAUUAAUUUCAUGGCAAGGUGGAGUUAGAAUUUGAAGAAUAUCAAUCGAUUAUUCAUUCAGUCUAGGUAUCAUAUGAUGGGGUUCUUCAUCAUGCAGUUGCUUGAGGAGCGAUGAUGGAGUUUGUUUUAAUGUACAGUUUGAUGAUUAAUUUGCAAUAAUUUGAUUGAAGAAUAUUGUAUUAGCUAGAUCUUCAUCUUGUUAAUUUCCUCCAACUGCAUGCAAUGAAACAGGUGUUUGAUGAUACCAUGGAAUUACCUGCAAAUAAAUAAGACAUCAAAACCAAUCUGAAAAUUCAGAAACAGCAAAAAAUUAAGUUCAGUUGGCCGGGGAUUCCAUUGGAAAUUAAGAAUCGGUACUUGAAAUGGAAAUUAGUGAUUACCAUAUGGAUAACAGCUAAUAAAACCCCAGAAUCAAUUAGGGUUUAUCAUCAUAUAUUAAGCAAAAACUACGUGCAUUAUACAGAUGAUGAUUGGUAAAGGAAGAAGUCUUAAAAAUGCAUGCCAAUGGAAAAAUUAGGGUGAAAUUUGAUCAACAGAGUGAUGAUUAGGUAUGCAUGAUGGGAUUUUCCCAAUCCGUCCAUGAUGAUAAAAGCCUAUUAUUCUUGUAAACAUGUACUAAAAGAAAAAGGAAAAAUUAAGCCCUCCUACUUUUCCUUUUCACCCCCCAAAAAGUCUCCACUAUGCACCUCAAAUCAAACCUAAAAAUCUCUAUCACUCUCUUUGUGUCCAUUGGUUAAGAAGUACUAAUUUCAAUAUUGUGAUAUCUCACAAGUAUAGAAAAAAAGUUUUUAACACUAUAUAUACACGAACUCCUUUUAAUCUAAUAAAGUCAUGAGUAUCUGUCAUACUAAGAACAAACAAUAUCUAUGUGAGAGAAAAAAAGUUGUUAUAAAUAGUAUUAGAGUUUAUCUUUGAUUUCGUUGUAGAAGUUUGUUUGACCCCACGAGGGGUAUCUGUUUCUUUAAUCCCACAAUCCUACUGAACAUAGUUAAGACGUUGUAUUCGUAUGAGAGUCUAUUCAUGUAUUAAUUCCUCUUAACCUAAUACACUACUUAUAAAGUUGUGAGUACGUAUUAAACUUAGAAUAUGUACUCAUAGUAGGUCAUUACAAAUAUUUAUGCGGACUUACAUUUAAAUCCAAUAAAAUAGUGUUACACAAAUAUUAUAUAAGUAUGAAACACACUCUCAUUUGAGUAUAUAUAUAUAUAUAUAUAUAUAUAUGUACACUACCGAAUAAUGGUUCCUUAAUUUGAUUAUAUGUCUAAACUAGACAAUUGAUAAAAAAAAUACUUUGAAAUGAAAUUGAUGUAAAAGAAAAUAAUGAGUUAUAUAAAGAGUAAUUAAUGCGACCUUUGGCCUUAUAAUUAAGUAUGGUUAAAUUACAUUUUUUAAUUCUCUUAGUAUGUGAGACCCAAAUUAUUGAAUAUUUUUUUAGGUUGUUAUUCAAUUGAUGAGAAUGACAAAUUUAUGGCUACCAACAAUGAUGUUUAUUAUUUAAAGCUACUCAUUUUGAAGAAGUCGCAUACCAAUCCUUAAACUAAAUCAAUUAGGUCUUAACUACUUUUUUAUUUAAUUUUUUUUUUGUAAUGAGUUGGUCAACACUGAAGCCUUAAUUUUAUGUUUGAAAACUUUAUUUUAAAUACACUUCUAUUAAAAAUAAGAAUAAUGUUAGUAUAUUUAAUAGUUAUUACUACUUUGGUCCCACUCUGGAUGUGUUCGUUCUCUGAAGCUUCCCAUUUUCUCUCGAAGGUAAUUUUUGUCUAAUGUCUCUCUAAGUUUUGAAAAGUUUUCUCAAAGACUUGGCCACCACAUCCCCCCUGGACAAAAGUUUAAUUUGGUCAAAUUAAGCAGCCAGAAUUUUCUCCAGAAGCUCAAGGGAACCAUCUCACAUAUUAUUUGGAUUUCCUUUCUAUGCAAGCAAAUCAGCACUAUAAAUAGCGAACAUCUUGGCAUAAUGUUUCAUCGGUCAUACUUCCUCUCAAUAUUUCUGGUUUUCUCAGACAAAUUAAGAAGGGUGAAGAAUGGGGUUCUCAGCUAUACUAAGUUGCUUUGUGCCAUCAUCUUCCUCAUCCCGAGUCUUCAAUGAUGCUGGUGGGUCUAGUGUGAAGGAACCUAAGAGCAAGUCAUCGAAAUCUUCAUCAAGAGCUCCUAUCCCUGUCUCUUACUUCCCCGUUAACUCCUACCUCUCUCGCUUGUAGUGAUUAAUUUCACUGCAAGAGUUAGAAUUUGAAGAGUAUGAAUGGAUCAUUGAUUCAGUCUAGGUAUCAUAUGAUGGGGUUCUUCAUCAUGCAGUCGCUCAAGGAGUGAUGAUGGAGCUGGUUUUCAUGUAUUGUUUGAUGAUUAAUUUGCAAUAAUUUGAUUCAAGAAUAUCGUAUUAGAUCUUCAUCUUGUUAAUUUCCUCCAACUGCAUGCAAUGAAACAGCUGUUCGAUGAUACCAUGGAAUUACCUGCAAACAAAUAAGACAUCAAUCCCAAUUCUGAAAAUUCAGAAACAAGAAGAAAUUAAGUUCAGUUGGGGUUUCCAUUGGAAAUUAAGAAUUGGUACUUGAAAUGGCAAUAAGUGAUAACCAUAUGCGUACAGCUAGUUAAACCCCAGAAUCAGUUAGGGUUUAUCAUCAUGUAUUAAGCAAAAACUACUAAUUACAUUAUACAGAUGAUGAUCUAAAAGGAAGAAGUCUUAAAAGCCUAUUAUUCUUGUUUCCACAUGCACUAAAGGAAAACGGAAAAAUAAAGCCACCUGCUUUGCCUUUUCAUUCUCCCAAAAGUCUCCAAUAUGCACCUCAAAUCAAACCUAUGAAUCUCUGUCACUCUCUUUCUCUCCAUUAGUUAAGAAGUACUAAUUUCAAUACUGUGAAAUCUCACAAAUAUAGGAAAAAAUUUCCUAAUGCUAUAUAUACAUGAAUUCCUUUAAAUUUUAUAAAUUCAUUUUGAAGUUGAGUACCUUUUAAACUUAGAACGAGAACAAGUUGUUAUAAAUAGUAUUAAAGCCGAUCUUUGACCUUAUGUGAGAGUUUGUUUGACUCUAUAAGGGAUAUUUGACUUCUUUUUUUUUGUUCCACAAACUUAUGAAACAUAAUGAAAACAUUGUAUUUGUAUGAGAAUAUGUUAUUUAUGUAUGGACUUCUCUUAACCUGGUAUGAAACUUUUGAAGUUAUGAGUAUUUAUUGAACUCCGAGUAAGUUAUUAUAAAUAUUUAUGCAGACUUAUAUUCAAAUCCAGUAAAAUAGUGGGGAAAAGAUAAAAAACAUAACUUCAAUAUUAUUUGUUACACUUUUGGACUCAUGACCUCCUAUUGCAUAAACCUGAUUUUAAUAUACCAUCUUAAGUUAUUAAUUUUUUUAAAUACAUAAAUUGUUAGGUAAUAGACUAGUGAUGUAUCGGCUCUAACAUGUUGGACUUAUCUUUAAAUUGAACAUGUCCAACAUACUUGUUAGUGGAACCUAAUUAAUUGUUCAUUUGAAAGUGUCUUUUCCAUUCAUCUAAAACGUGCACAGUAAAUUCACAAACCCACCAAACUUGAUGGAACCAUUGGCUGAACAUACCAACUAUAUGUUAGCUAGCUUGCUCUUCCUUUCUCUACAUGGUAAGUAACAAAGGGGUAUUUAAUGUUUUAAUUAAAGUCAUUAAAUUUGGUAACUUCGCUGUUACAAAGAUCAACAACAAAAGUACCAAGAUUCAUAAAUAAGUUCAUCAUUUUCUUGUUCUUAGCAUUUGUAUCUAAGUGAAGCUAUGAAAAGAGUUCAAUUCUUUGUUACCCCACAAACCACAAUCAUUUUUCUUGCUAUUAGCAUCACUUCUAAUAAGUCAAUGUUGCCAUAACUCUUUCGGGUGUUCUACACUUUUAAAACUGCAUUGAUUUUUUUUUUUUUUUUUAAUUAUGAGUUUCUUUGUUCUCUAAAAUAUGGGUGAAUUAUACUAAGAAGUAUAAAUUCAGGAUUGAGAUUUAUAUCUAAAAAUUCAUAAAAGUUACAUUUGAUUUUUAAAAUAAUGCUUUUAGUAUUUUAAAAACUUUGCCAAUUGGGUUUAAAAAUUAGGCCAUUGAUAAAAAAAAUAUAAGGUUAAAAAAAAGAGAGUUAUAUAUAAAGUAGUGAGACCUUAUUUGACCUUACAAUUAAGUGUGGUUAAAUUACAUUUUUUAAUCCUUUUGGAAUGUAGAGACCCAAAUUAAUGAACAUUUUUUUAAGGGUGUUAUUCAAUUUAUGAGAAUGGCAAAUUUCCGGCUACCAACAAUGAUGUUUAUUAUUUAAGGCUACUAAUUUUGAAGAAGUCAACCACCAAUCCUUAAACUAAAUCAAUUAGGUCUUAACUACUUUUUUUCUUUAAUUUUUCUUGUAAUGAGUUGGUCAACCCUGAAGCCUUAAUUUUAUGUUUGAAAACUUUAUUUUAAAUACACUUCUAUUAAAAAUAAGAAUAAUGUUACCACCAUGGAUGUGUUUGUUCUCUGAAGCUUCCCAUUUUCUCUCAAAGGUAAUUUUUGUCUAAUGUCUUCCUAUUAUGAUUGUAUGUAAGAGUCUAAGUUUUGAAAAGUUUUCUCAAAGACUUGGCCACCACAUCCCCCGUGGACAAAAGUUUAAUUUGUCAAAUUAAGCAGCCAGAAUUUUCUCCACAAGCUCAAGGGAACCAUCUCAAAUAUUAUGUGGAUUUCCUUUCUAUGCUACCAAAUCAGCACUAUAAAUAGAGAGGCAUCUUGGCCUAAUACGUCAUCGGUCAUACUUCCUCUCAAUAUUUCUAGUUUUCUAAGGAGGGUGAAGAAUGGAGUUCUCAGCCAUACGAAGUUGCCUUGUGCCAUCAUCUUCCUCAUCCCGAGUCUUCAAUGAUGCCGGUGGUCUAUUGUGAAGGAACCUAAGAGCAAGUCAUCAAAAUCAUCAGCAAGAGCUCCGAUCCCGGUCUCUUACUUCACUGUUAACUCCUUCCUCUCUCGAUUGUAGUGAUUAAUUUCAUUGCAAGGUGGAGUUAGAAUUUGAAAAGAAUAUCAAUGGAUCAUUGAUUCAGUCUAGGUAUUAUAUGAUGGGUUCUUCAUCAUGCGGUUGAUUGAGAAGUGAUGAUAGAGUUUGUUUUUCAUGUACUGUACUUUGAUGAUUGAUUUGUAAUUUGAUUCAAGCGCAUUAUGUUAGAUCUUCAUAUCGUGAAUUUCCUCCUACCGGCUGCAAUGAAACAGCUGUUUUAAUACAAAUAAUUAAGACAUCAACCCCAGGUCGAUUUUGUCAUAAGUACUUUUUCAGGUGUUCUAUACUUUUUUGAAAGCGCGGACACGACAUUUCUUGAGAGAAUUAAAAUUAGAGUCAAAGCCGUCUCAACGCAAACGUCAUCCAUUAGAGUUUGAGAUCAGGAUAAGAAAAGAAAAAAAAGAAGGUUGAAUGAAUCAAUGGAUGUUAAUUGAUGUCCAAUUUGUGAACGUGCUUGUGUGUCUAUAUAUAUAUAUAUAUAGAAAGAAAGUAUCUCAUCCGUUAAAGUUUGUGAUCAGGAUAAGAGAAAAAAAAAAAAAGGCCGGUUGAAUGAAUCAAUGGGGUUAAUUGAUGUAUAAUUUGUGAGCGUGAUUGUGUGCCUAGAAAGUAUCUCGUCCAUUAGAGUUUGUGAUCAGGAUAAGAGAAAGAAAAAGGUUGAAUGAAUCAAUGGGGGUUAAUUGAUGACUAAUAUGAGAGAGAGAGAGAGAGAGAGAGAGAGAGAGAGAGUAUUGCAUACUUUUUGGAGGAUUAAAAGGCAAAGGGCAUAGGCUUUUAUGAUCAUGGACCUAUAGGGCAAAUCCCACCAUGCAUACCUAAUCAUCACUCUGUGGAUCAAAUUUCACCCGAAUUCCUCCAAAAUUCAUCUGUAUUAUGUAGGUAGUUUUUGCUUAAUACAUGAUAAACCCUAAUUGAUUUUGGGCUUUAAUUAGCUCUUAUCCCUAUGGUUUACCUAUAUUGCUCAAUUCUUUCCAUUGGAAAAUUCUUACUGAACUUCUUUUGUUGUUUCUAAAUUUUCAGAAUAGGGUUGAUGCCUUAUUUGGUUGCAGUUAAUUUCAUGGUAUCAUUGUGCCGGACUUUCGAUUAAAAACAGCUGUUUUAUGGCAUGCAGUUGGAGAAAAUUAACAAGAUGAAGAUCUAAUACCAUAUUCUUGAAUCAAAUUAUUGCAAAUCAAUCAUCAAACUGUACAUGAAAACCAGCUCCAUCAUCACUCUGCAUGACGAAGAACUCCAUCAUAUAAUAAUACCUAGACUGAAUCAAUGACCCAUUGAUACUCUUCAAAUUCUAACUCCACCUAGCAGUGAAAUUAAUCACUACAAGCGAGAGAGGUAGGAGUUAACGGGGAAGUAAGAGACCGGGAUCGGAGCUCUUGAUGAAGAUUUUGAUGACUUGCUCUUAGGUUCCUUCACACUAGAGCCACCAGCAUCAUUGAAGACUCGGGACGAGGAAGAUGAUGGCACAAAGCAACUUAGUAUGGCUGAGAACACCAUUUUUAACCCUUCUUUUGCCUGAUCAGAAAACUUGAAAUGAGAGGCAGUAUGAUUGAUGAGAUAUUAGGCUAAGAUGUUUCUCUAUUUAUACAGUAGAUUGGAAAUGGAAGUGGGGUUGAUUUACUUGCAUAGCAAGGAAAUAAAGCCAAAUCAUAUAUGAGAUGGUUCCCUUGAGUUUCUGGGGAAAAUUC
Molecule: long non-coding RNA, 28049 nt
Filed under: Vitis vinifera (wine grape)
Lineage: Eukaryota; Viridiplantae; Streptophyta; Magnoliopsida; Vitales; Vitaceae
Description: long non-coding RNA (VVIN_LNC004390)
Source: RNAcentral